Long non-coding RNA from Cyprinus carpio (common carp), 1314 nucleotides. NCBI's taxonomy places the organism in Eukaryota, Metazoa, Chordata, Actinopteri, Cypriniformes, Cyprinidae. The record is from Ensembl.
UCUUCUGAGAGCUGAAAUAAUUGGAUGUUAGAGCUCAUGGAAACACAAAAAGACAAGAAUAAGAGUCGGAGGAUGUGAAGAACAAACUUUUGGUGCGAUGUAAACACUAGAUGACACUUGUUGAUGGAGGGCAGCAGAUUCUGGAUUUAGAAGAAAACCUUUAUCGAGUCCCACCGCCCUUGAAACGGAUGACAUCGAUUGGACAGCCAGAAGAUUCCCGACCCCUCCUGCCCUGGAGGACGAUCAAUGGACCCGCGGGCCGCUCCCGGAACAUCAGCAGAGGAUUAAACAAUCUCCCAGCACAACACAAUUAACUCCACAACACCUCACAUCAAUAUUUAAGAGCAAACUACAGAUAGCACAGAGAAAAAAAAUGCUUCGAAUUUUGUAUAUCGCAUGGCAAUAUUAAAGCAAUAGUUCACCCAAAAAUUACAAUUUGCUGGAAAUCUGCUCACUAUCAGGCCAUCCAAGAUGUAGAUGAGUUUGUUUCUUCAUCAGAACAGAUUUGGAUCCAUUGAAGUGAAUAGGUGCCGUCAGAAUCUGAAUGUUUAAACAUUCAGAUGUCACCCCCUUUCUAAUCAUUAACUUUCAUAUUUAACUGUAGUUUAAUUACACAUUUUUUUCUCAGUAACUGUGACUACAAUUACAUUUUUUUUUAAUUAAAUUAAGUAACUCUGUUACAUGUAACUAGUUACUCCCAACACUGAGUAUAAUGUAAAAAUAGUGUUGAUAGACUGUUACAUCUAUCAUUUUACAAGAUUGAGAACAGCAAAAAACGUACAAAUAACAGCAAAGAGUGUGUCUGUGUGAGCUGGUCUUGAUCUGUGGUGUGUGUGUAAACGCCGGCAGGUUUAAACAAAGGUAAAAUUGAGAAAAAACGCUUUUGACAGAUCAGAAAGAGAACCCCCUUUGUUUUCCACCAGGAUCAAAUGAGUGCUCUUGAAAGACCAGCAGACUGUGUUUUAUUAAGUAGGGCUCCAGAGCAGCACUGCUUCUCUCCAAAGUGCUAUUCUCUCCUAAUAGAGAACUGAAAGCCGCUGCGACCUCUAAGUUAACCUCCGCUGAGACAUAGCGCUCCACAGAUGCUCCCAGAAUGGAUAUUUCACCUUGUUGUUUACCCCUUUGCAGAUUUACAGUACAUGGACUGUGUGUGUGCAGUCACCUAUAACCUCUACUGCGAACAUGCGUUUGGUUGGCGAGAUGUUUGUCUGUGAAUGUCGACAGGUUUUGCUAUUCUUUUGGGGUUUGCUUAAGGAUAUAGAAACAGUAUUGAGUGUUAGUAAAUUCUCAGAGCUUAACUGCGGUUUUUGGUUU